RNAcentral lists this long non-coding RNA (1252 nucleotides) under Pan troglodytes (chimpanzee). RNAcentral's name for it is "long non-coding RNA NONPTRT016275". Lineage: Eukaryota; Metazoa; Chordata; Mammalia; Primates; Hominidae. The record is from RNAcentral.
ACCCAGAAGUGAUGGUUUACUAAUUGUAUCAUCUCUAAAUCAGCCAUUCAUCUGAAAGUAAUAUCUGAUUAGUUAUGUGCAUAUGUAUUCAAGUAAUAGUCAUGAGAGAUGAUCAUGGGCCAAACACUAUGCCAAGUACCUGGGAUACCAAGGAGAUAAGAGGAGAGCUUUACCCUUGAAGAUUUCUCCUCUGAUAAUACGAAGUAGACAUGUCAACAAUUUUUUAAAAAGGUAACAUGAUGAAAUAUAUGAGAGGUCCUUUAUGAAGAAGAGUGACCUAGUACAAGUGGCCACUAUAAAGAACUCAAAAUAAACUCCUGAGCUCAAAUGGCCUUUAAUUAUGAUGACCCAAGGCAAGAGUCUGCUGUUUCAUGAAUGCUUUACUUCAAGACUCAACUUUGAAAUACGUGUAUUUGAGAAAGGGAGUGUAUGAUUAAGAGGGCUUUUUGGCUGGAAGUAACACAUAAGCCAACUAGUAAUGACUUAAACAAAUAGUAGUCUUCUAGCUUUAUUUUCACAGACCAAGACUAUGAAAGUAGGCAGCUUUUGAGAUUGCUUCAGUGGCUCAGUGUUGUCAAGGCCAGCAUCUCUGUCUUUUCCUUUAUGUCACAGCAUUGCUACUACAGGUCCAGCUAUCACAACAUCACUUCAGGAGACAGAAAUAAACAGGACCAGCAGUGUAAGCUAUAUUUGCCCCUUGUGUCAAGAAUGCAUAAUCUUUCUCAAAACCACAUAGCAUAGUAUUGUUUAUGUCUCACUGGCCAGAUCAGUUCAUAUGAUUGCUUAUAGUUGCAAAUUAGGUUGGAAAACUGUGUAGUUUUUUAACCUCUUAGUUCAAGGCAUCAAAGAAGAGAGUGAAUGGUCUGUAUGCCCUGUUUUUACCCUUCCAGUUACACUACCACCCCAAAUUAUCUCUCUGACUCUAAAUACUGCCUUCCACCAUGUAGUGAAUGAUUAUAAAUUUAUAUAGCCUCAGUAUCCAUCUUUGAAUGCAGGAUUAACUUUCUCAUACCAGAGGCAGGGCUCAGUCACCCUUGACAGUUUCCAGUUUUACAUCACAUCAAAUGGCUAAAGUUGGUGGCCAGGGAUAAGAAUUUAGAAGCAUCUCUUCAGGCUAGCAAACUGGGCUCCCUGCUUUCCUGCUGUUCAUAUUUUUAAAGAGAUAUUUCAUGGAUUUGCCUGUGAACCUAAAGUGACCCACACCCUAUUCCCUUACAUAUACUGCUAGCUGCCAUGUGCUCUUCUCUCUCUG